GAAGCCUGCACCAGUGUGGGUUUCUCUCCACAGGAAGUAAAGAAACAAUCAUCACAGAACAGCUGUGCUAGGCCAACCACACAGCUAGAAUGGAAGACACCAAAAUCCCACUGCAGACGCUAAGUGGAAGAGUACCUAAAUAGCCUCAGGAAUACUAGCUAGAAUAUCCAGUCCAUUCAAGAAAACUAUUAGUCUGCUGCAUUUUAUUUUAGUCUUCAAAGAGGAAAACUGCACUGAGCCAAAACUGGAAAGAUGGUUUACCUGUAUUCAGACGCUAAAGGAGCCCAUGCUUUUCUUACCUAUAUAUACUUAGGAGAGUCAUUCCUUUGCUUGUUUGCUACAGUUUUUACUUAUUACUACAAGAGAUUGUACUGAGACAGCAUGUUUUAAGCCUCCCAGCGUUUCCAUAGGUAUUACCUCAGAGGAAGACAUAAAGGGAAGAUGACAGACCAUCUGUUGGUCCACGUUUCUUCUAAGCUAGUACUACUCUUAGUGAACAAUGUUUUGUCAAACAGCCAAAACAUGAACAGUGUUUUGCUUUCCAUCACUGCAGCUUUUUUUGCAAGGUACAGGUAUCACAAGAGCAGGCCUAUAUCUUGUCAGCUUUUUGUCUUCCUCUCAAGUGGUGUGAAUUUUCUCACCAGUAGCUGCAGGUGAAGCAGUGUUACCUAUUUCAUCCCGAACAGGUCCAAUUUCCUGAACUGAAAACUGUGGGAAUUUGGGGCAUAAGUGAUGAAAUUCAGAAACUCACUACUCCGUAAUGUUGUAACAUAGAAAUAAUAAAUAUUAUUAUAAA
Cyanistes caeruleus (blue tit) is the source of this 796-nucleotide non-coding RNA. NCBI's taxonomy places the organism in Eukaryota, Metazoa, Chordata, Aves, Passeriformes, Paridae. The record is from RefSeq and is a predicted model, not a curated record.